CCUACGGGGUGCUGCAGUGAGGAAUAUUGGUCAAUGGACGAGAGUCUGAACCAGCCAAGUAGCGUGAAGGAUGACUGCCCUAUGGGUUGUAAACUUCUUUUAUAUGGGAAUAAAAUGUUCCACGUGUGGGAUUUUGUAUGUACCAUAUGAAUAAGGAUCGGCUAACUCCGUGCCAGCAGCCGCGGUAAUACGGAGGAUCCGAGCGUUAUCCGGAUUUAUUGGGUUUAAAGGGAGCGUAGGUGGAUUGUUAAGUCAGUUGUGAAAGUUUGCGGCUCAACCGUAAAAUUGCAGUUGAAACUGGCAGUCGUGAGUACAGUAGAGGUAGGCGGAAUUCGUGGUGUAGCGGUGAAAUGCUUAGAUAUCACGAAGAACUCCGAUUGCGAAGGCAGCUCACUGGACUGCAACUGACACUGAGGCUCGAAAGUGUGGGUAUCAAACAGGAUUAGAUACCCCUGUAGUC
Molecule: ribosomal RNA, 460 nt
Filed under: uncultured bacterium
Lineage: Bacteria
Description: partial 16S ribosomal RNA
Rfam family: Bacterial small subunit ribosomal RNA
Source: RNAcentral